RNAcentral lists this ribosomal RNA (253 nucleotides) under uncultured bacterium. RNAcentral's name for it is "partial 16S ribosomal RNA". It matches the Rfam family "Bacterial small subunit ribosomal RNA", at positions 524 to 776 of the family's 1533-position model. The record is from RNAcentral.
UACGUAGGGUGCAAGCGUUAAUCGGAAUUACUGGGCGUAAAGCGUGCGCAGGCGGUUUUGUAAGUCUGACGUGAAAGCCCCGGGCUCAACCUGGGAAUUGCGAUGGAGACUGCAAGGCUUGAAUCUGCCAGAGGGGGGUAGAAUUCCACGUGUAGCAGUGAAAUGCGUAGAGAUGUGGAGGAACACCGAUGGCGAAGGCAGCCCCCUGGGUCAAGAUUGACGCUCAUGCACGAAAGCGUGGGGAGCAAACAGG